This 486-nucleotide ribosomal RNA is filed under the name uncultured Enterobacteriaceae bacterium. Its description in RNAcentral is "partial 16S ribosomal RNA". The record is from RNAcentral. Lineage: Bacteria; Pseudomonadati; Pseudomonadota; Gammaproteobacteria; Enterobacterales; Enterobacteriaceae.
CACGGAGUUAGCCGGUGCUUCUUCUGCGAGUAACGUCAAUCACUAAGGUUAUUAACCUUAAUGCCUUCCUCCUCGCUGAAAGUGCUUUACAACCCGAAGGCCUUCUUCACACACGCGGCAUGGCUGCAUCAGGCUUGCGCCCAUUGUGCAAUAUUCCCCACUGCUGCCUCCCGUAGGAGUCUGGACCGUGUCUCAGUUCCAGUGUGGCUGGUCAUCCUCUCAGACCAGCUAGGGAUCGUCGCCUAGGUGAGCCAUUACCCCACCUACUAGCUAAUCCCAUCUGGGCACAUCUGAUGGCAAGAGGCCCGAAGGUCCCCCUCUUUGGUCUUGCGACAUUAUGCGGUAUUAGCUACCGUUUCCAGUAGUUAUCCCCCUCCAUCAGGCAGUUUCCCAGACAUUACUCACCCGUCCGCCGCUCGCCGGCAAAGUAGCAAGCUACUUCCCGCUGCCGCUCGACUUGCAUGUGUUAGGCCUGCCGCAGCGUUA